RNAcentral lists this ribosomal RNA (492 nucleotides) under uncultured bacterium. Its description in RNAcentral is "partial 16S ribosomal RNA". It matches the Rfam family "Bacterial small subunit ribosomal RNA", at positions 29 to 507 of the family's 1533-position model. The record is from RNAcentral.
AGUGAACGCUGGCGGUAGGCCUAACACAUGCAAGUCGAACGACAGCACAGUAAGAGCUUGCUCUUACGGGUGGCGAGUGGCGGACGGGUGAGGAAUACAUCGGAAUCUACUUUUUCGUGGGGGAUAACGUAGGGAAACUUACGCUAAUACCGCAUACGACCUACGGGUGAAAGCAGGGGAUCUUCGGACCUUGCGCGAUUGAAUGAGCCGAUGCCGGAUUAGCUAGUUGGCGGGGUAAAGGCCCACCAAGGCGACGAUCCGUAGCUGGUCUGAGAGGAUGAUCAGCCACACUGGAACUGAGACACGGUCCAGACUCCUACGGGAGGCAGCAGUGGGGAAUAUUGGACAAUGGGCGAAAGCCUGAUCCAGCCAUACCGCGUGGGUGAAGAAGGCCUUCGGGUUGUAAAGCCCUUUUGUUGGGAAAGAAAAGCAGCAGGUUAAUACCCCGCUGUUCUGACGGUACCCAAAGAGUAAGCACCGGCUAACUUCGUG